CUGGUAAUGAUUUCCUUUGGGUUUUACUGAGGAGGGAUCAUUA
This 43-nucleotide ribosomal RNA is filed under the name Clonostachys rosea. Its description in RNAcentral is "partial 18S ribosomal RNA". Lineage: Eukaryota; Fungi; Ascomycota; Sordariomycetes; Hypocreales; Bionectriaceae. The record is from RNAcentral.